This 182-nucleotide non-coding RNA is filed under the name Marivita hallyeonensis. Lineage: Bacteria; Pseudomonadati; Pseudomonadota; Alphaproteobacteria; Rhodobacterales; Roseobacteraceae. The record is from RNAcentral.
UUACGCCAAUCCUGUCACGGUCCGGGCAACCCCCGGUGAAAAGGGAACGCGGUGCAAAUCCGCGACUGCCCCCGCAACUGUUAACGGCGAGCGUGUUCGGCACAUGCCACUGGGAAACCGGGAAGGCCCGAGCCACGUGAAGACCCGCAAGUCAGGAGACCUGCCGUGACGGUUCACCCUAC